This 539-nucleotide long non-coding RNA is filed under the name Vitis vinifera (wine grape). Its description in RNAcentral is "long non-coding RNA (VVIN_LNC001340)". Lineage: Eukaryota; Viridiplantae; Streptophyta; Magnoliopsida; Vitales; Vitaceae. The record is from RNAcentral.
CCUUAGCACCACCACCCACCUUCUCUCAUGGCCAUGGCUACCCAAGCUUCCCUCUUCACCCCCACACUCUCCGGCGACCGUGUUACCGUCCCAUGGAAAUCAUCGUCUUCACUCUCCUUCACCACCCCAAAACUACCCAAAUCCUCCGUUGCGCCCAGGACCACUAUAAGGGCCAUGGCGGAGGAAGCACCGACAAAAGAAGCCCCUGUUGGCUUCACCCCGCCUGAAUUGGAUCCCAACACCCCUUCUCCCAUCUUCGGCGGCAGCACCGGAGGCUUGCUCCGCAAGGCCCAAGUGGAAGAGUUCUACGUCAUCACAUGGGACUCUCCCAAGGAACAAAUAUUUGAAAUGCCCACUGGUGGUGCCGCCAUAAUGAGGCAAGGUCCCAAUCUGCUCAAGUUGGCCAGGAAGGAGCAGUGCUUGGCGCUUGGAACAAGGCUGAGGUCCAAGUACAAGAUCAAGUACCAGUUUUACAGGGUGUUCCCCAAUGGCGAGGUGCAGUACUUGCACCCCAAGGAUGGGGUCUAUCCCGAGAAGGU